Numida meleagris (helmeted guineafowl) is the source of this 1852-nucleotide long non-coding RNA. RefSeq lists it as uncharacterized. NCBI's taxonomy places the organism in Eukaryota, Metazoa, Chordata, Aves, Galliformes, Numididae. The transcript has 4 exons. The record is from RefSeq and is a predicted model, not a curated record.
UCCACGAGAAACAGACCCAAUGUCAUCCCAUUUUCCUUGGGUUUGUCUACUGAAGGGAGUGGCAAUGCAGAAAAAUCUCUCCCCCUGAUGGCUCAGGUGGCAGCAUGAAUUUUAGCCGCAUUUGAGUUGUGUAGUCAGCAGCUGACCCGCCAAUACGCACAGGCUGAUUAAGUGGUUGGCUGCUUCCCCUUAGCAUGACUAAGGAAUUGGAUUUUGCCCAAUGAUUUCAAACGUUUUUAUUGGAGAGAAGACAUUUAUUGCAUCCUUGGGGACAUGAGGCAAAAAAUACCGUGCCUUUUGAGAUUAGGCUUCCAGUGGGUUUUUAGUUGGAUGCACCUAUUUCUUUAGCGUUAUCCUAAAUAAAUGGGAAGGCACUCCUGGCUUCUUGGUGAAAAAAGAAGCGUGCGACGUGGGGAAGAUGAAGGGAGUGCAGCUGCCUGAGGUCCGUGUUCCCUGCCUGCACUCACCUCUGCCAUAGCGCCUGGGUCGGAGGGCCGCACUGAGUCAUCCUGGUGGACAGAGUGGGGCACGCAGGGAAAAUCGAUUCUCAUCUCUCCGCCAGAUUUCCUCAUCUGCUCGCUGGCUGUAGGAGGGGAUUUCCAUAGUAAUGUGACCUGUCUUCAUGCUCCAUUAACCGGCUCCUAAUUGAUGCAGAUCAUCUUGGUUGGGCAGACAAAUAAUGGAGGAAGGGCGUUGAGUGCUUGAGCAAUGCAUCUGAAAGGAACAGUGUCAGAGGUCACCACCAAGCUGACUGCACACUUUUGUUGUUGGCUGGUAAUCCAGAAAAAGAAACGCUCCUUCAGGAGUUUGCCAGGAAAAUCCACCUCCCAUCCACAGAAAGAGGGGGGGAAAUGUGGCGAAGCAACAGGAACUGGGAAGCGCAGCAGCCUUGGAUGCCACCUUCAAUGCGAAGAAUAACGAAAAGAGUAGGAAGCAAUACCAUAAAGAGAUUGUCUUUAUGAUUAGCACACGUUAUGAUGUACUACGCACACUGAACUGUUCCAGUGUGCGUAGUAGCUGGAAGAGAAGGCCGUACAACAGCUGAUGAAGUUGGCUGCAGCAAGAAAAUCACAUCUCAGUUUCCAGGAUUUCAGAAAGAAGAGCUCCUCCGAUACUUGCAAAUCUCUGCAAAACGUUUCAGUGCUUGCUGCCCCCAGGUCUGGUCAGAUCUUGGUGAUUUCCUCCCGCGUGCACUGCAGGGCCCUGUUCUGCUCUUCAGGAUGGAUGCUACCCAGAACCGUGGCUGAUUCAGUGCGCUGAGGGAGGAUGCGGAGCUGAUCUUCAUAACUGGCCUGUGUAUUUUAGGUAACAUGUAACGUGUCACAUUUAUUCUAGGCUCACAACAACCUAGUUGUGAGAAAAAAUGUGGAACCAACAUAUGGCUUAAAACUGCCUGUAGCAGUGCAGGGCUAGAAGGAGGUAAUUCUGAGGUGCUACACCAUGCACAACAUUUGAAUUUCGAAUGUGAUCUGAGUGUGUCCCCUGCGUGUGACCUGACCAUAAUUAUUGAUCAGGGUCUUAAGUCGCUGCUUGGAUUCCUUGGGUCAGUUGAUUUUGUUUUGCUUGCCUAGGGGAAACGUUGUUUUUGCUUGGAGGGAAGGAAUAGCACUGACCACAGCGCUCCAACCUGCAGAUGUCUUUCUUGGAACAAAAAAGCCUGAGACACUGACUGCAUUACUGUGCUAAUUCCCCUUCAUCUCAAUGUUCCCGGCUGAUGCGUGCCUUGCCCCGAGCAGAAAGGUAAAGAGGGAUCCUUGCAUUUGUGUCUGAGAUCGCUUCUUUCCUGGGCUGGCCGCUUCCCAGAGUCCCUUUUCAGAAGGUCGUGGUAUGUCCAGCGAUUGCCCGGGGCCUG